This 274-nucleotide ribosomal RNA is filed under the name uncultured bacterium. RNAcentral's name for it is "partial 16S ribosomal RNA". It matches the Rfam family "Bacterial small subunit ribosomal RNA", at positions 523 to 796 of the family's 1533-position model. The record is from RNAcentral.
AUACGGAGGGUGCGAGCGUUAAUCGGAAUUACUGGGCGUAAAGCGUACGUAGGCGGUUGGUUAAGUUAGAUGUGCAAGCCCCGGGCUUAACCUGGGAACUGCAUUUAAAACUGGCGAACUAGAGUUGAGUAGAGGGGAGUGGAAUUUCAGGUGUAGCGGUGAAAUGCGUAGAGAUCUGAAGGAACACCAGUGGCGAAGGCGACUCCCUGGACUCGAACUGACGCUGAGGUACGAAAGCGUGGGUAGCAAACGGGAUUAGAAACCCCAGUAGUCC